GACAGAGGGUGCAAACGUUGUUCGGAAUUACUGGGCGUAAAGCGCGUGUAGGCGGCCCAGCAAGUCGGAUGUGAAAGCCCUGGGCUUAACCUAGGAAGUGCAUUCGAAACUGCUGAGCUUGAGUUCUGGAGAGGAAGGCGGAAUUCUCGGUGUAGAGGUGAAAUUCGUAGAUAUCGAGAGGAACACCGGUGGCGAAGGCGGCCUUCUGGACAGUGACUGACGCUGAGACGCGAAAGCGUGGGGAGCAAACAGG
Molecule: ribosomal RNA, 253 nt
Filed under: uncultured bacterium
Lineage: Bacteria
Description: partial 16S ribosomal RNA
Rfam family: Bacterial small subunit ribosomal RNA
Source: RNAcentral